AAUUAAAUAAAAAGCUAUUCAUGAGAAGAAUCACCAAGGUUUAUAUGACCUUAGUCUGAAGGUACAAUUUACCUGAGCUUCAUCUGAAGUGAUUAUCUGAAAUACAGGAUGAGAAUGACACUAGACUUCCAGUGUGGGAAGUAUUUAACAUUUUUCAGGAAUGGCUCAAAAAUGAGCCAGGGCUGAAAGCUACAGCAGCUUGUAUGAUCAAGCUCCACAGCUCUAACAUUUUACACAACACUAAUAUAAGGGAGAAGGCAUGGGGGGCAGUUCUUUCUGAGAGGACAGGACUAAAUCUGUUCUCAUCACUUCUACUAAACCAAAGAGAAAAGUCACCCAAAAUCACAAGUCUCAGAUUCAGCUAUGAAUUAAGGUGCAUGGAAGUCUUUGCACAAGGAAUUGAUUUGGCUGAAUAUGUUAAGACCACAUAAACAAGUGGCUAUGGCAGCUGCCCCCCCAGCCUCUUCCAACACAGACACGAAGCAGCAGAUAUUAGCCAUCAUCAGUUUCCACGUAAAAAAAGCAAUAAAGGGUAGCAGUACCCCUAAGACCUUACCCAUGAGGGAGUAUUUCAAAACUAUUUAAAAAUAAACUAACUCUGUACCUGAGGCUCAACCACUAUUUUGCUUUCACUCUCUAUCUGCACACUCCCCUUUCGCAUUAAGGAUUCCUCUUUGCAGGUUAGCAUCUGAAUUGAUUAUGCCUAAACCACACGACAGCCUUCCCAGUGUGGAAUAAGAGAGUUGAACACGGCAGGGGCAGAAUAGCUGUUUCAAAACCAUGAUUCUCAGCUAGCUGUCUGAACCAAUAAACCUGAGGAGAAACCUUUCUCCUGCAUCAAAAACGUAAGCAUCAAUGUACCUACUGGGUGCCCCCUAGAAAUUGCUGUCAUGUACAUGCAUAUAAACACAGGGGUCAAAUUAUCUCUUUCAAGGUGAUGCAGGGAUUUCAUUACUUCGAAAAUGAUAGAAUCCAGUGGAAGUGAAUCCUUAUUAAACAGAGUGGUCAAAUGAAACACAUUGUUUUGUUCAUUAUGAAAUCAUGACUGUAUCGUCAAAAAGCCUAUGGGUCUCAACUUAGCACUCCCUAACUUCUUUGGUUUUCCAGCCUUUCCCUCUUCCAGCCUUUGAAAAUGAAGUCCACUAGUGUGAGACCUGAAUGCUUGAUUUAGUGACUCAGUGCUCAUGACAUAGACGUGAACUUUAUACUUAUGGUGUGAAGUCACAGGUAUUUUGGGGCCAGCUGGAUCUGCUACAGUAAAAUCACACCAACGACUCCUGCUUUCAGACUUGCCUAUGGAGACAUUGGCAAAGAGCAGAGGAGACUGAAAAGUGCUUAGAAAUCUGGGAACUGGGACUUCCACAUUCCAGUUCUUCCUGUGGCUUACCUCAUCAGUGAUCCUCAGCUGAUCACAUAGUUCUUCAGUGCCACUGUUUUCUCCGCUGACUCACAAGAGUGUUAGAUGUGAGCACCCUACCAGUGAUACACAAAAUAGCUCUGGUGGGUUUCCAGAAUCAUCAGGAGCACUCAGGUCUUCAAAAGACUAGGAAAGCAUAAAGAAACACUGUGAAUGCAUGAUGCAGCAGAAGCACUUCUUUCUCAUGGGCACUUGGACAGCCAAGGCUUAUGCUGACUUUUUCAGGCUUUUCACCAAGAAACAACAAAAGAAUCAACAAAAGAAAGCCUGUGAAGAACUAUCCCAUGCCUGCAUUGCCUUUACAUCUGUGCCAACAAGACAGCUCUUUUGACAAAAGCAGGGCAUGGUGUGACAACCCUUAAGUAGUAACGGAGACAAGCACUCAGUGGUAAAGCUUUCAGCAAUAGCUGUAACUAAAUCAAACCACCAGCAGAAGGUGUGCCAGCAUUUGGAAAUUCCCUUUUUCCUCAUCCCUAUGAUUUAAGAUUAACAGGAUCUCAGGUAGAUAGCUAUUCGUCACAACUGCUUGGGGAAAAACACUCAACAGGAAGCAGGACAUGUGAAAUUACUGGUGUAAAUGAAUGCAGUGCCACUGAAAAUCAGGCGGUUGCAUUGCUCUGUACCACCAGUGCUGAUUCUGGCUCAAUGCCUUCAGCACAUUGUAGAAAUUGAAAGCUCUGUGUCUGCCCCUGCAGAGGACAUGCAGUCAGCCUUCCUGUGAGCCUCCUCAGGGUGCUAAUACACAAGAGACUCUCGCUCCUCCGCUCUGCAUUUCUCCUUUCACUUUGCUUCAACAUCAAUGUUUUUGUGAAAAA
Neopsephotus bourkii (Bourke's parrot) is the source of this 2232-nucleotide long non-coding RNA. RefSeq lists it as uncharacterized. The transcript is spliced from 3 exons. The record is from RefSeq and is a predicted model, not a curated record. NCBI's taxonomy places the organism in Eukaryota, Metazoa, Chordata, Aves, Psittaciformes, Psittacidae.